RNAcentral lists this ribosomal RNA (1408 nucleotides) under metagenome. RNAcentral describes it as "bacterial LSU rRNA". It matches the Rfam family "Bacterial large subunit ribosomal RNA", at positions 1537 to 2925 of the family's 2925-position model. The record is from RNAcentral.
AAAAUCCGGGAAUCUCUAUGCCGAGCACCGAGACGAGUCCUAUGAGGACGAAGUGACUGACACCACGCUUCCAGGAAAAGCCACUAAGCUUCAGCUGUAGAAAAACCGUACCGCAAACCGACACAGGUAGGCAGGGUGAAAAUCCCAAGGCGCUUGAGAGAACUCGGGUGAAGGAACUAGGCAAAAUGGCACCGUAACUUCGGGAGAAGGUGCGCCUCUUGGUGUGGUCACGUGCAUGACUGAGCAUCGAGGGGUCGCAGUAACCUGGCCGCUGCGACUGUUUAUCAAAAACACAGCACUCUGCAAACACGAAAGUGGACGUAUAGGGUGUGACGCCUGCCCGGUGCUGGAAGGUUAAUUGAUGGGGUCAGCCGCAAGGCGAAGCUCUUGAUCGAAGCCCCAGUAAACGGCGGCCGUAACUAUAACGGUCCUAAGGUAGCGAAAUUCCUUGUCGGGUAAGUUCCGACCUGCACGAAUGGCGUAACGACAGCGGCGCUGUCUCCACCCGAGACUCAGUGAAAUUGAAAUCGCUGUGAAGAUGCAGCGUUCCCGCGGCAAGACGGGAAGACCCCGUGAACCUUUACUAUAGCUUUACACUGAACGUUGAGUUCUUCUGUGUAGGAUAGGUGGGAGGCUAUGAACCCAGGACGCUAGUUCUGGUGGAGCCAUCCUUGAAAUACCACCCUGAAGUGCUUGACGUUCUAACCUAGGUCCGUAAUCCGGAUCGGGGACCGUGUAUGGUGGGUAGUUUGACUGGGGCGGUCUCCUCCCAAAGAGUAACGGAGGAGCACGAAGGUACGCUCAGCGCGGUCGGACAUCGCGCACUGUGUGCAAAGGCAUAAGCGUGCUUGACUGCGAGAUCGACGGAUCAAGCAGGUACGAAAGUAGGUCUUAGUGAUCCGGUGGUUCUGUAUGGAAGGGCCAUCGCUCAACGGAUAAAAGGUACUCCGGGGAUAACAGGCUGAUACCGCCCAAGAGUUCAUAUCGACGGCGGUGUUUGGCACCUCGAUGUCGGCUCAUCACAUCCUGGGGCUGUAGCCGGUCCCAAGGGUAUGGCUGUUCGCCAUUUAAAGUGGUACGCGAGCUGGGUUCAGAACGUCGUGAGACAGUUCGGUCCCUAUCUGUCGUGGGCGUUGGAGAUUUGAGGGGGGCUGCUCCUAGUACGAGAGGACCGGAGUGGACGUUCCGCUGGUGUUCGGGUUGUCAUGCCCAUGGCAUUGCCUGGUAGCUACGAACGGAAGUGAUAACCGCUGAAAGCAUCUAAGCGGGAAGCACGCCCCAAGAUGAGAUCUCCCGAGAGCUUGACUCUCCUAAAGGCACCAUCAAGACUAGGCGGUUGAUAGGCACGGUGUGGAAGUGCAGCAAUGCAUUGAGCUUACGUGUACUAAUGAGCCGUGAGGCUUGACCA